AAAAAAAGAAAAGAAAAGAAAAGAAAUUAAAAUUCUGAAGUUUGCAUACCUAACUGUUCACUUACGGUAUCUCACAGUCUAAUUAAUUCAUAGCCACAUGCAUAGAGUUUAUUGCAUUUGCAACUAUGCAGCAUCAAAUUGUUGCAAAGGGACCUCUGGAAAGGACUGUCCUUCCUCCCAAUGUGUAUGUGUGUAUGUACAUGUAAUACAUGUACAUAUAAUGAAGAUUACAUACAUGUAUAAUUGUAUUAUAUACAUAUAUAAUUGUAUACGUAUAUAAUACAUUUAUAUAAUCUUCAAUUAUAUGUAUAUGUAUUAUAUAUACAUACAUACACAUUGGGAAGGAUAUAUAUAUAAUUGAAGAUACAGAAUUGAAGAUGAGUAUAUUUAAUAUUUAUCAAAGGGUAAAGGCGCUCAUCCGCAGUUUGGAUCAGAGCCUCAAAAUCUAAAUUCAUGCCACGAAUAGCGUUUUUCAGAUGUUGACUUCCUAGGAUCCUAUUCUUUUAAACCUGAUUCAAUUUUUGUGCCUAUCAAGACAGACACCAAAGAUUUUAUUUAGGAGGAAAUAUGUGGUAUUCUUUUUAAACUUUUCCAGAGACAUCACUUAUGUGAUCUUACUUGGUUUCUACAACAUUCCCAGCCCCAGGAGGCAGGCAGAGUGAUAUUGCCAAUCACAUUUUUGUAGACACAGGCUCAGAGAAGUGACAUUACCUGCUAGAUGUCACACAGCCCAUCUGGGACCCCAGGGCUCAAGCCCCUGCCCUCUGGCCCUGAGUCCUGCCUCUGUCUGUGGACUCCCAGCUCUUGCUGUUGCUAGAGUGUGCUGCUCCUUUACUUGGCAUGUCCACAUUCCUGGGUUGUCCAGGAACGCACAUUCUUGGAGAGGAAGGGGAAUAGAUAUUUUAGCCACAUACAACACUCUGAGCUUGCCAGGCACCUAAUAGGGACACUCAAUAAAUAUUAAUUAAAGAAUGCAGCCACAUUGGCUUAUGUGCUGGCCAGAUCCUUUAAAGUGUCAAGAAUAUUCCUUGAGAGACUGAGUGUUAGGCUGGAAGGCUGUGUGGAGGCGGAGAGGACAGAAAAGUCCUGGAGUAAUGGAGUGCAUUCUCUUGGAAGAUGAAAAUAUCCACCCGCCCCAGGGGGCCCCUAUCUGUCACUGUCACCAGGAGAGAAGGAGGAAGGGAACAUAUGUCUGUUGAGUGCCUCUGGGACCUGUAUUUUUCUUGCUGGGGUGGGAUUUAUUCCGCUUCUCCCGUACUCCUGCAUCUCCAAGGCCAGUGGAGGACACCAGGGGACAGCUGGCUGAGAUCAAGGAUUAACGUCAAGGAAUUUCUUCAUCGUCUCCAUCAUCAAAUUCUACUUAACAUGCUCUGCCCAUUCCAAGAAAAAAAGAGGAAUGAAUGUGAACUCUUUUUGUACAUACAGCCAUUUACUCAAAAAAUGCAGCCGGCAGAGAUUCCACAGCUGGGAAGCUGACUGGUUGCAGUAGAGAAGCUGGCCAAAAUCCACCAAGAUGGCGACAAGAGUGACCUCUGGUCAUCCUCACUGUUACACUCCCACCAGCGCCAUGACAGUUUGCAGAUUCCAGGUAAUGUCAGGAAAUUACCCUAUAUGGUCUAAAAAAAGGGGACACAUGAAUAAUCCACGCCUUGUUUAGCAUGUCAUUAAGAAAUAACCAUAAAAAUGGGCAACCAGCAGCCCUUGGGGCUGCUCUGUCUAUGGAGUAGCUGUUCUU
Molecule: long non-coding RNA, 1735 nt
Filed under: Homo sapiens (human)
Lineage: Eukaryota; Metazoa; Chordata; Mammalia; Primates; Hominidae
Description: HSALNT0394257
Source: RNAcentral